RNAcentral lists this long non-coding RNA (320 nucleotides) under Phoenix dactylifera (date palm). Its description in RNAcentral is "long non-coding RNA (PDAC_LNC012981)". The record is from RNAcentral. Lineage: Eukaryota; Viridiplantae; Streptophyta; Magnoliopsida; Arecales; Arecaceae.
CCCAGUUGACUCACAUCGCCUCCCGAGUUGCCACUGGAGCUUCCUCCCUUGUCCUUCUCCGGCGAUUUCCGCCGGGCCACCUUGGAUGGCUUCUGCCAGCCAUCCAGAUCCACAGGGGAGACAGAGGGGAUCGUCUCCCCAUCCACCGGAGAUGUCUGCGUCCGAGGAGGCGUGCCCACAGGUUUUGGACCACUCUCCGACGCCAUCGGCUUCCUCGUCUUCACGUUCCCUUCCCCGGCCCUCAUCUGCCGAACCCUGUGGGUGACCAACCACGGCCCAUACCCUGGGUUCACCGGAGGUUCGAUCCCACCGGCCCCUCC